UACGAAGGGGGCUAGCGUUGCUCGGAAUCACUGGGCGUAAAGGGCGCGUAGGCGGCCGAUCAAGUCAGAGGUGAAAGCCCAAGGCUCAACCUUGGAAUUGCCUUUGAUACUGUUCGGCUCGAGACCGGAAGAGGUUAGUGGAACUGCGAGUGUAGAGGUGAAAUUCGUAGAUAUUCGCAAGAACACCAGUGGCGAAGGCGGCUAACUGGUCCGGUUCUGACGCUGAGGCGCGAAAGCGUGGGGAGCAAACAGG
RNAcentral lists this ribosomal RNA (253 nucleotides) under uncultured bacterium. RNAcentral describes it as "partial 16S ribosomal RNA". It matches the Rfam family "Bacterial small subunit ribosomal RNA", at positions 524 to 776 of the family's 1533-position model. RNAcentral also lists the same sequence under 1 other name. The record is from RNAcentral.